RNAcentral lists this ribosomal RNA (497 nucleotides) under uncultured bacterium. Its description in RNAcentral is "partial 16S ribosomal RNA". It matches the Rfam family "Bacterial small subunit ribosomal RNA", at positions 28 to 507 of the family's 1533-position model. The record is from RNAcentral.
GAUGAACGCUGGCGGCGUGCCUAAUACAUGCAAGUCGAGCGAACAGACGAGGAGCUUGCUCCUCUGACGUUAGCGGCGGACGGGUGAGUAACACGUGGAUAACCUACCUAUAUGACUGGGAUAACUUCGGGAAACCGGAGCUAAUACCGGAUAAUAUAUUGAACCGCAUGGUUCAAUAGUGAAAGACGGUUUUGCUGUCACUUAUAGAUGGAUCCGCGCCGCAUUAGCUAGUUGGUAAGGUAACGGCUUACCAAGGCAACGAUGCGUAGCCGACCUGAGAGGGUGAUCGGCCACACUGGAACUGAGACACGGUCCAGACUCCUACGGGAGGCAGCAGUAGGGAAUCUUCCGCAAUGGGCGAAAGCCUGACGGAGCAACGCCGCGUGAGUGAUGAAGGUCUUCGGAUCGUAAAACUCUGUUAUUAGGGAAGAACAAAUGUGUAAGUAACUAUGCACGUCUUGACGGUACUUAAUCAGAAAGCCACGGCUAACUACGUG